CACUGUUUCCUUUUCAGGGAUGUAAAGUGUGGUAGGUUAUACUGCAGUCGUGGAAACGAAUCGGAUUGCAGAAUGAAAUAUUUUCCAUCAAAGGAAGAUGAUGGAUUGGUUACACCUGGAACAAAAUGUGGAGAUGGAAGGGUCUGCAGCAACGGGUAUUGUGUUGAUGUGCGGACAGCCUACUGAUCAACCACUGGAUUCUCCAUAAUUUGAUUUUGGAAAUCUUCCUUCCAGAAGGCUUCCUUCAAGUCCAAGGAGACACACCUGUCUUUAUCCUACUAGUAAAUCAUUCUUAACUUCCAGAUGGCAUCUAAAUAUUUUGCAAUAUUUCUUCUCCAUAUUUAAUCUGAUUAUCUUUUGCUAUAAUCAAACCUUUUCUCUCCCACAAAGCUCCAUGGUCACAUACAACGCCGCAGGCUUAUUUGCUGUGAAGAAAAAAAAUGGCCAUUUUACCACUUGCCAAUUGCAAUGCAUAUUUAAUGCAACAAGUUCUGCUUUUGAGCUGGUGUAUUGAAAGGCAAUGCUUCCUCUCCCAAAAUUUUAUGCUAGCUUUCCAAGAUGUAGCUGCUUUCAUCAAUAAACACUUCUCAUUCUGCA
This is a non-coding RNA of Thamnophis sirtalis, 597 nucleotides long. The record is from RefSeq and is a predicted model, not a curated record. Lineage: Eukaryota; Metazoa; Chordata; Lepidosauria; Squamata; Natricidae.